UACAGAGGUCUCAAGCGUUGUUCGGAUUCAUUGGGCGUAAAGGGUGCGUAGGCGGCGUGGUAAGUCGGGUGUGAAAUCUCGGAGCUUAACUCCGAAACUGCAUUCGAUACUGCCGUGCUUGAGGACUGGAGAGGAGACUGGAAUUUACGGUGUAGCGGUGAAAUGCGUAGAUAUCGUAAGGAAGACCAGUGGCGAAGGCGGGUCUCUGGGCCGAAAUUGACGCUGAGGAGCGAAAGCGUGGGGAGCAAACAGG
Molecule: ribosomal RNA, 253 nt
Filed under: uncultured bacterium
Lineage: Bacteria
Description: partial 16S ribosomal RNA
Rfam family: Bacterial small subunit ribosomal RNA
Source: RNAcentral